UCUACCAGCCAGGUCUCUGCUCAGAUGGCAUCGUGGACACUCUUUAUGAGAACCUACCUUGCAGUGCUGUAGCUGCCGUCUGCUUGUGCUUUGGCUCCUAAGCGCAUGGUUAAGGAAAUACUCAGCUUUCAGGGUUUUUGUUUGUUUUAUCACGAGUGAAAUUCCUGGCACAGAGCAGGGAUCCAAUGUCAUUGCUGUUACUGUUGAUGAAGAUGAAAUGGUGAUCAAGACUAAAGAAGGUGAAGAAGACUAACGGUGAUGAAGAUAAAGAUGACACUGGGAAUGUAUGAUCCUAACCAGAGCUGGCGGAAGAAGCCACACUGAGCUCUUAGUCAUCUCAGCAUGUGCCUUGGAAGUUUUGUUUAUUGGUAUUUUCCCCCCUCGUGGGUUUUUUCUGAGCUGGCUGGGGAAGGGGUAGAGUUGUCAGCGUGGGUGUCCGCCUAAACACUCUUUAGGUCGUUUAGUCUAUUUGUCUUUUGUCUCAGUUUACCAAAAGUCAUCUCGCGGAAAGGAGGGGCUAGGGUCUGGUAAGUCGAAGGCUCCAGUGUGGGGGUUCCAGUCACGUGACAUCUCCUGCUGCCCUCCCUGGGGGCCACUCCUGGCUAAUGUAUUACCCGCUUCGCGGCACACUUCACUUGGUGGCAGCUUCACUUGGGCCAAGUCAGUGCUGUUUCCUGGGUUCGUGGAUUGAAACUUAUUUCUUCAGAGAGCAAGCCAUCAACAAUGAGCAGGCUGGUGACCAAAGGAGGCCUUCUUUACUGUGGGGUGUCUUCUGAUGCAGCAGUGAGGGAGGGCAGGUCGGUUGAGAUCACCAACCCAUCAACCGGCCCUGUGCAAAUGCCCAAUAAGUGACCCUUUUGAUGUCAAGGGGCUGAAACUUCCACCCUCAGAUCGUACCAACACCACCAUUUGUGAACAUGCGUCCUAUGAGGAGCCAUGAAGCUUGACGAUGCUUGUGCAGAUCAUUGAUUACCUCACUUCUCCUCUCCAGUCAUCUGUCUCCACACUUCAGACCGCCCUGCCCUUCAUCCUAUACAUUUUACCCCAAGCCCUGGAUCGGGGAGACAGAUCCGAGAGCUUAUACCUCCUGUCUCCUUGCAGAUCGAUCUCGCAAUAAAUCUGUAUUCUUUUCUCAAAAGCUGAUGCUGUAAUAAUUGGCUUUUUUAUGUGCACCAGGUAGGAGCACUGCAUGUUUGUGUGGUAACACAGUUGACAUAUUUUUACAAACUGAGCACACCCAGGUA
Equus caballus (horse) is the source of this 1244-nucleotide non-coding RNA. NCBI's taxonomy places the organism in Eukaryota, Metazoa, Chordata, Mammalia, Perissodactyla, Equidae. The record is from RefSeq and is a predicted model, not a curated record.